This 453-nucleotide ribosomal RNA is filed under the name uncultured bacterium. RNAcentral's name for it is "partial 16S ribosomal RNA". It matches the Rfam family "Bacterial small subunit ribosomal RNA", at positions 28 to 523 of the family's 1533-position model. The record is from RNAcentral.
GACGAACGCUGGCGGUGUGCUUCACACAUGCAAGUCGAACGAGGUGGCAAUACCUAGUGGCGGACGGGUGAGUAACGCGUGGGAAUCUGCCUUUAGAUGGGGGAUAACGGGCCGAAAGGUCCGCUAAUACCGCAUAUGCCGCAAGGUGAAAGGAGUAAUCCGUCUAAAGAUGAGCCCGCGUCCGAUUAGCUAGUUGGUAGAGUAAGAGCCUACCAAGGCGACGAUCGGUAGCUGGUCUGAGAGGAUGAUCAGCCACAAUGGGACUGAGACACGGCCCAUACUCCUACGGGAGGCAGCAGUGGGGAAUUUUACGCAAUGGGGGAAACCCUGACGUAGCGACACCGCGUGAGCGAAGAAGCCCUUUGGGGUGUAAAGCUCUGUCAGCUGGAACGAAAACAAUGACGGUACCAGCAGAGGAAGCAUCGGCCAACUACGUGCCAGCAGCCGCCGUAA